This is a long non-coding RNA of Betta splendens (Siamese fighting fish), 2147 nucleotides long. RefSeq lists it as uncharacterized. The transcript has 2 exons. NCBI's taxonomy places the organism in Eukaryota, Metazoa, Chordata, Actinopteri, Anabantiformes, Osphronemidae. The record is from RefSeq and is a predicted model, not a curated record.
GGCGAAGCGAGCGGACGCCCUCCGAGCUUUCUUUGUUCCUCCUGCCCGCCGCCUGUUCCGUGGAUGUUAUCAACGCUCGUGCGUCCCUGACGCCCGCUGAUUGGCUGGAGGGUCGGGAUCAAGCAAAGCAGUGUGGGCAGAGCGAGGACGCUGCGUCUGGAGGGAAGAUGCUCUCAGCUGCAGCUGCAGGAGGCGCAGUCGCCGUCGCUGUGGGAUCGAACAGUCACGAUACCUCAGCCUCUGCUUCUCCUGUGAGUCUGUGUUCGACGCCAAAGUCUUGGAAUUGAGUGGAAGCUGAAAACUGUGUCAGAAAACAGGCCAAAGUAAGAAUAAGGAUUAGAAGACUGGUGCUUCUUUUACUAUAAUCAGCUCUGUGGCUCUCAAUUCAAUUUACAAGUGAGGCACAACCAACAUAUUUAUUAUUAUUAUGCAGAACACUGGCAGUGUUGGCAGGUUGCAUGUUGUGGGAACACGCUCUCCUUCCGUCUGACACCAAAUAAACACUGUGGCAUCUGACUGAGGCUGGUCCUGCUGGAGCUAAUGGAGCCGUGGGGCGCAACGGUUGCAGGACAUGAGUAUUAACGAAGUUUUGUUUUUAAGCCCAGGCAUCUUUUAGUUCACUUACUGUCUUUGCUGUUUGUGCUCAGCUUUUUUUGGCCAAGCUUUCACAUAGCUGCCUGUCCCCCAACAGGCUGUGAGCGUUCAGUAUCAGCUCCACUGUGUCGAUGAUGCAGUGCUGGAGCGUUAAGAGGAGCAGCUCAAUGCUGCCACCUGGCGGCAGGAAAUCUAACAGGAAGCAGAAAAGCUGCAGAGAGACAAGCAGCACUCACAUGGUGAGUGGCUGUGCAGCGUCUCAGUUAUAGACCUGCAUUUAAAAGCAACAGCAGCAGCUGUUGCUUUUAUCUUAUCUCAUCUUAUAUUAAAAAAAUAGCAAUUGUUCACUCUUCUCAGCUCUAAAUGAAUAAUGCUGUACCAAAACAGGCUCAUCUUUGUAUUAGGCAUCCUGCUGUGAACCUCCAGGGGUGAACAGACAGUGACCUUUUCUGACACUGGAUUGUUCUUGCACUAUUUCCAUUUUAUUGAUUUCUUGUUUUACAAAAACAGUUAUGACAGAAUGCAUAGACUGAGCCACUUAUUCGACUCAUCAAUGACAACAGAAGAAAAGAACCAAACAAAAACCUGGCGUCAGGACGAGACAAAUUUAUUUGAAAAAGAAAGCAACACUGUUUGCAGCAGUUCCUGUAUGUGCAUACAUACGGUUAUGGUCUCUUUCACACGACUGAAUGACAUAAUUGUCAUCAAGCAAACACAGGCAACACACACUCACUUACUAGCACACACUGCAUGGGAAACCAUGGGAUGCAUCUGACAAACCACAGACACUAACACAGUGAAGGAAAUGCAUAGAAAUAUUCGGAUAAAGAAUCGGGUGACGCAAAGAGAAUAGGAUUUUCUCUGCGUAUAUUUGGAAUUUAAAGUUCAGAUUUAUUAGGUUUGAAAAUAAAAAAAAACAAUUGUUUGUAGUUAGACAAAAGCAAAUAAGACAAAAUAAAAUGGGUGAACUGACUGUCAAUUUAGUUACGAUUUUUGAAACAAUGGGAGUGUAGCCGUCGCACUGAAACACAAGCGUCUAAUCACUAGCAGCAACAGUGGCUCCCACGGAGUCUCCACCGACUACAUCAGCAGCGCAAUGAUUAGCAGUUAGUCUGUUAGCAUCUCUAACAGCAUCAGACGAGGUUUAACUGCUGCGUCCUUCAUGUUCCUUUAUGCAUUUCUGCAAAGCUGAGAGCUUCACACUGAACGGUCCUUCAAUAGCAUCAGUGGAAACAUAUCUUCAGCUCUUUGGGGCUGGACACUCGAGCUGGUUCUGCAAUCUACAGCACAACGGCACCAAGUAAGUGAGCAACAGCCCAGUGACCUCACACCAGCACAAUGACCCAUCAGGCCGUCAAAUGUUAAAUGUUAAAUUAACUUUACUGCAACGGCCUUGGCUUUUACAGACAGACAGUGAUUGGUGCAAAGCCAUGCAUGUAAAUAUUACAGAGCUUCUGGUGUGGCCUGAUUACAGAAAUGCAUAAAGGAACAUUAGUGGCACAGUUGCCAGGAAUUAAUAUGGAAGUCAAAACACAGUUCUUGUCAGCUUCACU